RNAcentral lists this long non-coding RNA (547 nucleotides) under Capra hircus (goat). Its description in RNAcentral is "lncRNA (ENSCHIG00000004459.1)". The record is from RNAcentral. Lineage: Eukaryota; Metazoa; Chordata; Mammalia; Artiodactyla; Bovidae.
CAAGCAGCUAGCUGACCAGGAGGACUAGAGCUUAUCCCCCUGCUUCUUGGCAGGCAGGAUGGUGAAUAGCUCAGCUUCCUCCUCCUCACUCCCCUCUCCUAUGCUCUCUUUCUCAGAAACAUCAUUGCUUAUAAUAACAGUCUGGUGCCGCCCAGUAUCCACACAGAGCCAGAACUCAACAAGAGGUGGAAGGUUACAGGUGGCUGGAGCUGGAAGUCAUCCAAACAGCAUAGGUUGGCAGGACAACUUGAGGCUGGCCACAGACGACAGAACAGAGGAUCAGGUCUGUGGAAUGGACACAGGGCAUUAAAGUCAAACAACAGACACGAAGUACAACCGCAACGUGAUGGUGUUAGAUCUUCGAUGCAGACUCUGCAGACUCUGGUACAACCACGUGAUGGUGUUAGAUCUUCGAUGCAGACUCUGGAAACUGGCUUUGCGAACGUAAGCUCAAGACUCACCUCUGGCCAAAUCCAAGAAGCUGGCAAGUGGAAGAGGCAGGCAGGGAGGAGCUGUGAGUGUGCUGUGUUCUGAUCCCAGUAGGAAG